UCAUGUUCAGUGUCUGGCUCUGUACUCGGAAGGUUUCAGGUUUCCUCCUCAGAUAAAAUGGGGCUUCUUCGUGACGGGCAGCAGAUUCAGUGGCGUAUCUUGACGUAAGCGCGGCAACGGAACUGUUUAUAAAGCUGCAGUCGUUGAGCUUUAA
This 154-nucleotide unclassified non-coding RNA is filed under the name Pocillopora damicornis (cauliflower coral). RNAcentral describes it as "uncharacterized LOC113686340, transcript variant X1". Lineage: Eukaryota; Metazoa; Cnidaria; Anthozoa; Scleractinia; Pocilloporidae. The record is from RNAcentral.